AACGAACGCUGGCGGCAGGCUUAACACAUGCAAGUCGAACGUGAAAGUCCCUUCGGGGGCGAGUAAAGUGGCAGACGGGUGCGUAACACGUGGGAAUCUACCUUUGAGUUCGGAAUAACACAGGGAAACUUGUGCUAAUACCGGAUACGCCCUACGGGGGAAAGAUUUAUUGCUCAAGGAUGAGCCCGCGGCCGAUUAGCUAGUUGGUAGGGUAAUGGCCUACCAAGGCAAUGAUCGGUAGCUGGUCUGAGAGGAUGAUCAGCCACACUGGAACUGAGACACGGUCCAGGCUCCUACGGGAGGCAGCAGUGGGGAAUAUUGGACAAUGGGCGAAAGCCUGAUCCAGCCAUGCCGCGUGAGUGAUGACGGCCUUAGGGUUGUAAAGCUCUUUUAGCGGGGAAGAUAAUGACGGUACCCGCAGAAAAAGCACCGGCUAACUCCGUGCCAGCAGCCGCGGUAAUACGGAGGGUGCUAGCGUUGUUCGGAAUUACUGGGCGUAAAGCGCGCGUA
Molecule: ribosomal RNA, 510 nt
Filed under: uncultured bacterium
Lineage: Bacteria
Description: bacterial SSU rRNA
Rfam family: Bacterial small subunit ribosomal RNA
Source: RNAcentral